Molecule: transfer RNA, 73 nt
Filed under: Dipodomys ordii (Ord's kangaroo rat)
Lineage: Eukaryota; Metazoa; Chordata; Mammalia; Rodentia; Heteromyidae
Rfam family: tRNA
About the family: Transfer RNA (tRNA) molecules are approximately 80 nucleotides in length. Their secondary structure includes four short double-helical elements and three loops (D, anti-codon, and T loops).
Source: Rfam by way of RNAcentral
GGAGGUAUGGCUCAAAUGGUAGAGUAUCUGCCUAGCAAGAAUGAGGCCCUGAGUUCAAACCCCAGUAACUCAA